Molecule: ribosomal RNA, 182 nt
Filed under: uncultured bacterium
Lineage: Bacteria
Description: partial 16S ribosomal RNA
Rfam family: Bacterial small subunit ribosomal RNA
Source: RNAcentral
CACGAAGUUGGAAUUGCUAGUAAUCGUGGAUCAGCAUGCCACGGUGAAUACGUUCCCGGGUCUUGUACACACCGCCCGUCACACCAUGGGAGCCGGUAAUACCCGAAGUCAGUAGUCUAACCGCAAGGAGGACGCUGCCGAAGGUAGGAUUGGCGACUGGGGUGAAGUCGUAACAAGGUAAC